GAUGAACGCUGGCGGCGUGCCUAAUACAUGCAAGUCGAGCGAACUGAUUAGAAGCUUGCUUCUAUGACGUUAGUGGCGGACGGGUGAAUAACACGUGGGCAACCUGCCUGUAAGACUGGGAUAACUUCGGGAAACCGAAGCUAAUACCGGAUAGGAUCUUCUCCUUCAUGGGAGAUGAUUGAAAGAUGGUUUCGGCUAUCACUUACAGAUGGGCCCGCGGUGCAUUAGCUAGUUGGUGAGGUAACGGCUCACCAAGGCAACGAUGCAUAGCCGACCUGAGAGGGUGAUCGGCCACACUGGGACUGAGACACGGCCCAGACUCCUACGGGAGGCAGCAGUAGGGAAUCUUCCGCAAUGGACGAAAGACUGACGGAGCAACGCCGCGUGAGUGAUGAAGGCUUUCGGGUCGUAAAACUCUGUUGUUAGGGAAGAACAAGUACAAGAGUAACUGCUUGUACCUUGACGGUACCUAACCAGAAAGCCACGGCUAACUACGUGCCAGCAGCCGCCGCGG
RNAcentral lists this ribosomal RNA (514 nucleotides) under uncultured bacterium. RNAcentral describes it as "partial 16S ribosomal RNA". It matches the Rfam family "Bacterial small subunit ribosomal RNA", at positions 28 to 523 of the family's 1533-position model. The record is from RNAcentral.